UAGUCUCCAUUAGUUGGGUAGUAGGACUCACUGAUACUUAGUAGUCUCAUCCCACAUUUAUCAAGUUUUUCAGAUAAGCAGGAUUCUCGUGGUAAGCAGACUAUGGAGUAGUUGCAUCAGUCGAAGGAUAUUAUGUUUCUAGAUGUUUUGUCAUCUUUAGGGAUGACAAUGGUUACGGUAUGGGUAUGGUACUAUAGUACGCAUCCCCGUACUCGCAGUUUGAAAAAAUACUUGUACCUAUCUUCAUACCCGCGUGGGUAAUAAUUUUUGUACCCGUGUUCAUACCC
RNAcentral lists this long non-coding RNA (287 nucleotides) under Trifolium pratense (red clover). Its description in RNAcentral is "long non-coding RNA (TPRA_LNC000040)". The record is from RNAcentral. Lineage: Eukaryota; Viridiplantae; Streptophyta; Magnoliopsida; Fabales; Fabaceae.